Non-coding RNA from Triticum aestivum (bread wheat), 124 nucleotides. The record is from Rfam. Lineage: Eukaryota; Viridiplantae; Streptophyta; Magnoliopsida; Poales; Poaceae.
UAUAUACUCCCUCCGUCCGGAAAUAGUUGUCCAAGCAAUGGUUGCAUCUAGACUUAUUUUAGUUAUAGAUACAUCCAUUUUAUCCAUUUCUAGGACAAGUAUUUCCUGAUGGAGGGAGUAUAUU